AAAGGAUAGAAGCUGAAUCCCGAGUAGUACGGGGCACGAGAAAUCCCGUAUGAAUCAGCGAGGACCAUCUCGUAAGGCUAAAUACUACUGUGUGACCGAUAGAGAACAAGUACCGCGAGGGAAAGGUGAAAAGAACCCCGGGAGGGGAGUGAAAAAGAACAUGAAACCGUGAGCUUACAAGCAGUGGGAGUCCGAUUAAACGGAUGACCGCGUGCCUGUUGAAGAAUGAGCCGGCGACUUAUAGGUACUGGUAGGUUAAAGCGGGAAUGCUGGAGCCAAAGGGAAACCGAGUCUGAAAAGGGCGAUAAUCAGUAUUUAUAGACCCGAACCCUGGUGAUCUAACCAUGGCCAGGAUGAAGCUUGGGUAAAACCAAGUGGAGGUCCGAACCGACCGAUGUUGAAAAAUCGGCGGAUGAGCGGUGGUUAGGGGUGAAAUGCCAAUCGA
Molecule: ribosomal RNA, 445 nt
Filed under: Cylindrospermopsis raciborskii S14
Lineage: Bacteria; Bacillati; Cyanobacteriota; Cyanophyceae; Nostocales; Aphanizomenonaceae
Description: bacterial LSU rRNA
Rfam family: Bacterial large subunit ribosomal RNA
Source: RNAcentral